RNAcentral lists this ribosomal RNA (254 nucleotides) under uncultured bacterium. RNAcentral's name for it is "partial 16S ribosomal RNA". It matches the Rfam family "Bacterial small subunit ribosomal RNA", at positions 524 to 776 of the family's 1533-position model. The record is from RNAcentral.
UACGUAGGGGGCAAGCGUUGUCCGGAUUUAUUGGGCGUAAAGAGCUCGUAGGUGGUUCGGUAAGUCGGAUGCGAAAUCUCCAGGCUCAACCUGGAGGGGUCAUUCGAUACUGCCGUGACUAGAGGUCGGUAGGGGAGUGUGGAAUUCCUGGUGGAGCGGUGAAAUGCGCAGAUAUCAGGAGGAACACCCGUAGCGAAGGCGGCACUCUGGGCCGAUACUGACACUGAGGAGCGAAAGCGUGGGGAGCGAACAGG